UGGGGAAUAUUGCACAAUGGGCGCAAGCCUGAUGCAGCCAUGCCGCGUGUGUGAAGAAGGCCUUCGGGUUGUAAAGCACUUUCAGCGGGGAGGAAGGCGGUGAGGUUAAUAACCUCAUCGAUUGACGUUACCCACAGAAGAAGCACCGGCUAACUCCGUGCCAGCAGCCGCGGUAAUACGGAGGGUGCAAGCGUUAAUCGGAAUUACUGGGCGUAAAGCGCACGCAGGCGGUUGAUUGAGUCAGAUGUGAAAUCCCCGGGCUUAACCCGGGAAUUGCAUCUGAUACUGGUCAGCUAGAGUCUUGUAGAGGGGGGUAGAAUUCCAUGUGUAGCGGUGAAAUGCGUAGAGAUGUGGAGGAAUACCGGUGGCGAAGGCGGCCCCCUGGACAAAGACUGACGCUCAGGUGCGAAAGCGUGGGGAGCAAACAGG
This 429-nucleotide ribosomal RNA is filed under the name Chloroflexota bacterium. RNAcentral's name for it is "Chloroflexi bacterium partial 16S ribosomal RNA". It matches the Rfam family "Bacterial small subunit ribosomal RNA", at positions 355 to 776 of the family's 1533-position model. Lineage: Bacteria; Bacillati; Chloroflexota. The record is from RNAcentral.